ACAUAGACAUGGGGUGAAAUCCUGGCCUCACUGAAUUCAACGGGAGCUUUACCAUUAACUUUAAUGAGGCCAGGAUCUCACCUACCAAAUAUCCACAGACAUGAUGAAAACUGUUAUUUAUUAUUAUUUGAAUUAUUGUAGAGCCUAAUAUCCCUGUCACACACACUCCUUAGGAAGCAAUCAGGUAUCGAUGUGAGAGACAUGAACUGCAUGGCUGAAUGUAUAGGCGUCUCAGCCCGUAAUCGUUCCUGGACAAGAUAAUGCAGUGGCUGAUAUCGGACUCGAUUAAUAAAGAAUUAAAGGAUGGUAAUGUAAUUAAUAUAAAUCAACAUGGUUUUGUGGAAAACAGAUCCUGACAAACUAACCUG
This is a long non-coding RNA of Dermochelys coriacea (leatherback sea turtle), 368 nucleotides long. RefSeq lists it as uncharacterized. The record is from RefSeq and is a predicted model, not a curated record. The transcript is spliced from 3 exons. NCBI's taxonomy places the organism in Eukaryota, Metazoa, Chordata, Testudines, Dermochelyidae.